GUGUAUUUAGUUGCAGCAAAUACUAAUUUAGGUGCUCGAUAGUACCUAGAACAGAUGUAAGAUUAUAAGAGUAGCACCAAAUAUAUUUCAGUUCAAGCAAAUAUAAAAAAAUUAUCAAUAUCAGUACCAAAUAUUACUUCGAAGAUUAAAUGGCAGCUUCAGUUGGACCAAUAGUUGCAGGAGGAGCAGAAAGCAUUAACUAUAAUAAUAUUGUUUUAAAUAUAUCAGUACCAAUAUUGAUUCUUUUUCAUUAAAAACCCAGGCUUAUGUUUUAAAUCUAUACAUCCUUAGAGCUCUCGAUAGCAACAGCUUUUAGGAUUCGUAAAUCUACCUGUGCAGUAGGUGUAAGAAAAAAUACUUUCACUGCAUGUUUGUUACGGAAAAUCUCAUUUUAUAUUCAAACCCAUGUGACAGUAGUAAAGAACCUUGAUGCUGCACUUGAGUUUAGAUGGACAACAAUGGACUUUGAGGAGUUAUAUACAAUGCACGGAAUGAAAAAGAAAAAAGAAAACAACAUAGAAAAGAAGACUUGCAUAAGUUAAUCUACUCUACUCUAAAAAAUGACAUUUGGUUUAGAUAUCCCAAAAACUCAAACUGCAGUUCCAGAUAGAUCCAUGAUUUAAUUAAACACAAAGUAUUUGCAACUAUCGGAGAUAGCACCAUCAUAUAUAUAAAUAUGCAUAUAUAUAUUUGCCCUAUAACACUGCAAAAGAUGGAAGUUCCAAGGCAAGCAUAUGGAUUAAAACAAAUAAGUUGUACGUUAAAUACUUGUUUGCAAGACUCUGUGGCCAGCACAGGAAAUGGGAAUGAGCUUAGACUCUUGCAAAUCCUCUGUGAUUUUCCUGAAGCAUGUAUUCUUUCUUCAUUUCUUCCAAGACAGCAUCAUUGUUGCUGCCAAAAAAAAGAGAAACUAAGUUCUUCCAAAAUCUCAUUUUAUAUUCAAAAAAUUAUUUAGCUGUUGAAUAAUACAAAUAAUAAAGAAAAUACACUGAGUUAAUGGAAGCAGCAAUGAAAGCAGCAUUGAAGUAAACCCUACAAGUUUAGCUAGUGAAAGACGAGUUCCUACUUCAAUUAGAGAGUGUGAAAGAAAUGAAGAAUAAACCCUACAAGUUUGAGGAUUCGACAGUAUUGAAGUACUACCAUUCAAACCCAAAAUUUAAGAUCAUCAUGUGCCGAGUUAAUGGUAUUCACCUUAUGUUCUGUCAGUGUUCUGAAACUACACAGUACACAUUAAACGUACACACAGAUAUGACACCAGUUUGAAUACCAAAUUUCGCAGAAAGAUUUACAAAAAUUAACUCUUUAUGUCAAUUCGAACACCAAAUAGUAGGACCCUAUUUGUUUCUCUCUUACCCUGUUUCUUGUAUUCUACCUCCCCGCCAAGAUUAACAUGAAGCUCUUACUAAUUAGAACACAAAAUCAACUCUUUAUUGCAUUCAGCAUACCAAACUAAUACUAAUACACAAAUAUCAGUAAAUACCCUAAAUCUUACCUUGAACUGUUUUCUUCAACCCCAAAGCCAACUUCUGAAACCCUUGCCUUUCUUAAUCCAAUUUUCUAUAGAAGAGAAAUCAAUGGCCAGUGGGAAGGGUGAAUUUUAGGAAUUUCAAAUUGGGGAAGAAGGGGUUAUUUUCGGAUGUUAAAUUGGGGAAAAAAGGGUGAUAAAACUUUAGGGAUUUGGGACUAAGGAAAAGAGGGGAAAUGAACUGGGGAGAGUAGUAG
Molecule: long non-coding RNA, 1722 nt
Filed under: Gossypium barbadense (sea-island cotton)
Lineage: Eukaryota; Viridiplantae; Streptophyta; Magnoliopsida; Malvales; Malvaceae
Description: long non-coding RNA (GBAR_LNC002258)
Source: RNAcentral